Molecule: ribosomal RNA, 460 nt
Filed under: uncultured bacterium
Lineage: Bacteria
Description: partial 16S ribosomal RNA
Rfam family: Bacterial small subunit ribosomal RNA
Source: RNAcentral
CCUACGGGGGGCAGCAGUGAGGAAUAUUGGUCAAUGGGCGUAAGCCUGAACCAGCCAAGUCGCGUGAGGGAUGAAGGUUCUAUGGAUCGUAAACUUCUUUUAUAAGGGAAUAAAGUGUGGGACGUGUCCUAUUUUGUAUGUCCCUUAUGAAUAAGGAUCGGCUAACUCCGUGCCAGCAGCCGCGGUCAUACGGCGGAUCCGAGCGUUAUCCGGAUUUAUUGGGUUUAAGGGGUGCGUAGGCGGCCUGUUAAGUCAGUGGUGAAAGUCUGUGGCUCAACCAUGGAAUUGCCGUUGAAACUGGGGGGCUUGAGUAUGUUUGAGGCAGGCGGAAUGCGUGGGGUAGCGGUGAAAUGCUUAGAUAUCACGAAGAACCCCGAUUGCGAAGGCAGCCUGCCAAGCCAUGACUGACGCUGAUGCACGAAAGCGUGGGGAUCAAACAGGAUUAGAUACCCCUGUAGUC